GUGGAUUUUGUAAAAUCCAAGAUGGCCACGAUGGCGGACGAAAUUGAUAUUAAAGAGGAUGAAAUCGAUAUCAAAGAUGAAAUUGAACCUCUUAUCAACAGUUCAAGUGUGUCAAUCAAAAGUGGUUUUAAAGACGAGUUUAGUGACGAACUUGAAGCUGAAACUGAAGAUCAAGACACAGAAAACGACGACUUAAACGAUGCAGAAGAGAUCGUCACGGACGGUGUCAGUCUUGAUGACGAGCAGCAGUUCGUCGACGAUUCUGAGUUGGUUGGUGAUGCUGAUUUGUUGGACGAAACACCCGACAAUGAUCCUCUGAAUAUGACCGAAGAGUUAGAAGAAGAUGGACUUGAAGAUGACGAGGUUCUGGCAGAUGAUCAAGAUGUCGAUAAUACUCUUGAGGAUGAAAUCCUCGAGAACGAAGAGGGAGACGAGGACGAAUCUAUGAACGCAGAGGACGAACCAAUGACCACAGAGGACGAGCAGAAAAAUGGAACGAAGCGUAAAUCCCCUGAUGAUAAAUCGGAUGUUCCAGUCAGAAAAUCCUCCAGAAUUCGACUACGGACAGAUCUCAGGAAAGACCAGGAAGAAAAUGGCCAAGUGAAAAGCGUUCAUGAUACACAGAGAGAGAAAACUAAGAUGCUGCAAAAGCCCACAGAACGUCCAACACGUGUGAACGAAGACGAUGAACAGUCAGAAGGUGAAAAGGUAUCCGACACUGAGAAGGAAGAGGAACCAACUGUAGAGGAUACAUCAAAGGGUGAUAGAUCUCGACAGCCGGGUGUGGGAGCUUCAAGGAAAAUAGAUCAGGACUUUCUUCUUCCUUUCAGAUUGGGUUGGACCCGUGAAGCUUCUGUACGUCAAGUAAAGGCUGGCCCUCCUCAAAUAGAUAUUUUUUACUGGCCACCGAAGGACGGAGAGGACCAUGGAGCAAGGAAUAGGGAGGCCCGGAGAAAGCGACGAUCUAAAGUAGAUCAGGAGAGAUAUUUUGAGGAGUUCCCACAUCCUCAGCUCUCUGUAAAUAACUUUACUUAUGUUCGCAGACCUUUGGAGCUUAAUAAUGAAGCAUAUGAGAUUGUUAGGUAUUCUAAACCGAGUCUAGAGACACGUAGUGACAAGAGAACCCGGGCUGGAAAGAUUGCGAGCUACAAGGAAGUUGCUGAACACGAGGGCCUCUUGUCUUCCAACAGUUCAGAGGACGAGGCUGAGGAGGUUCAAGACAUUACUGAGUUCGACCAGGGGCUCCCACUCUCAUUACAGGUUCUAAGUCGAGUAACCCCGCUCAGAGAGGAAUCCAAGAAGAGACAUAAGUACCCUAAUCGUGACCGUUGUGUGACCCCCCACCUGGCUGAAGAGAUAUCUUGGACUCUACUUGACGAUGAUCCAUUAGGUAUCUACCAUGAGCUUGGAGGGCGGAGUAGUCCUUCAACACCUCCGCCCCUUCGUGCUCUCCGUCUUACUUCACAUCCUACAAUUGCCGCAAUAAAUCAGAAACUAGAUGAAAUUAGAACUGGUUUGGUGGAUCCAAUGCUCCGUAUAACAGAGGGGAACAAGGAUCUCAACAUGAAGGAUAAUUUGGCAUCUCAUGAUGCUGCAAUCAAGAAGUACAAGGACUUUGCACCAGUGGUUCCCUUCCAACACAGAAGCCUGCAUGGCCGACCAGUACAACGAGGAAUAGUUGGAAGAGUUGGAGCUGCUGGUUUCCGUCCCCCACCAUCAGCCGCCAGGAGUUCAAAUACUAACUCAGUCGGCUUCGUCAAGGUUCGACUGCCCAUGUUAUCCACUAACGGUAAACGACCUGUUGUCGAGCUUGUUAUGCUCAAUAACGGCAAAUAUCAACCCAUCAAGUUCACCAAUAACAGACAGGUUACUGAAUCUAUACCAAAGCGAUUGUUUGAUCAAGCAAACUCAAUGCGGAAAACAUUGUAUCAAAGAUCUGUCCAGGUUCCUAAGAUUGGUGCCAAGCAAGUAUUUAUCGCAAUUAACCCCAGUCCUGGAUCUCGACCCUUCCAGAGCAACACCAACGGUUCCCCGGCAAACCGGCAACCGCAGAAACCACAGCAACAGAAACCACAACAACCGCAACAACAGACCAGUAAACCACCCAGUUCUUCAGAUCAGGUGUCCAUUUUGGUUCGGCCUGCACAGGGCGGAAACGCAGUUCUUUUGAACGUUCCACGGCAUGUUGCGCUCAAGGUGAAAAUCGGAACAACUCUCUCAUUUUCUGCCAGCAACGAACAGAAGUACACAGUCAUUGACAACAAGAUGCAUCCACCGGUUGGUAAGGGUCGGCCGCCACCCCCUAGACAAGAACGAAAACCGGCAAUACACACCAUACCGUCACUGCCCUCAGGCGUCAGUAUCCGACCGAUCAAUCGGACGCAGAAUCAUCAGCAACAAAAUCGGCCGCAGGUCGGAAGAACUACUCCGGCCGGCCGUGCACAGCAGUUUGUUCGGCAGAUACAGGCUCAGGUUCGACACAGCUCCCCCCGGCCUAUUCAGACAGCUGGCAGGAAAAGUGGUCCCUCUGUCUCGAAUUUCAGCCCCUGUUCUCCAUUUUGUCCCGGAGUAACAGGGAUACCGGAGUUAGAAUGCUCAUCCUGUCAUUCUCUCUUCCACCCUGUGUGUGUAGGGAUUCCCCAUAAUAGGAUUCAUCUUCUAGCAAGCCUGUUCAGGUGUAAGGCUUGUGGUUCUAACGGUCCUGGGAGUGGAGGAGGAGGAGGAGGAAGUAAAUCUAUUCAAGUUAUAGAUCUAGACUAAACUACCUGGAUAAAGAAGUACUCGUUUCUAUUCCUACCUUCGUAACCUUUCUUAUUCCCACUUGCAAGUAGGAUUUCACUCUCCUGUUAAUGUCCUCCAUUAAAUACCUGGAGUACCCUUUCCUAUUCCCACUUCACAUUAAUACCUGGAGUACACUUUCCUAUUCCCACUUCACUUUAAUACCUGAAGUACACUUUCCUAUUCCCACUUCACUUUAAUACCUGGAGUACACUUUCCUAUUCACACUUCACUGUAAUACCUGGAGUACACUUUCCUAUUCACACUUCACUUUAAUACCUGGAGUACACUUUCCUAUUCACACUUCACUUUAAUACCUGGAGUACACUUUCCUAUUCCCACUUCACUUUAAUACAUGGAGUACACUUUCCUAUUCCCACUUCACUUUAAUACAUGGAGUACACUUUCCUAUUCCCACUUCACUUAAAUACAUGGAGUACACUUUCCUAUUCCAACUUCACUUGAUGUAGGAGAACUGUUUCUCAAUUCUAAGUUUGGGUAAACUAAACUUCUCAAAUCCAAAUGGUAAUCAGAAGUAAUCACUGAUAUCUCAAAACUCAAGACCCCUCUAAGGAAAAUGUGCCUACUCAAGAUUUUUACCUGAAGGCCUAUGAAAACUAUGCACCUAUAAACUAUCAGCCUGUAUCAAGGGUGUGAAUUUAAACUACCCCCGCUCAGCGAACUAUAACUACAGUUUAAAAGAACAUGGAAUAUCAGAUUCAUUAUUCCUUCUGUAACAACUGUAAAGGGAAAAGAUGUCUCAUUUCUGUACAUAAUAUUUCUGUAUAUUUGUCCAUUGUACAUAUUUAAUCUAAUUUUCACAUUUUUACAUUUUACGACUGAACCCCCUCAGUAUUUUUUAUAUAUCUCGUUUUCGAUCGUUAAAAAUCCCAUGUACAAUCCUGAUCAAAUGGCGCAUUUCUAUGUACAAAUAUAUUUAUUUCGCGCCAUAAUUUCGAGACAUUCUGCAAACCCACGGAGCAUUAAAAAUUGUGUUAAAUUAAUUGCAUUUCCUCUAUUUUUAUAUCCGACUUUUGUAUAAGCAUGGUUCAAAAUCAUUUAUGUAUUAUUCAUAUAUCAUAAAUACAGUAGCUACACACACCGUUA
This 3885-nucleotide unclassified non-coding RNA is filed under the name Eurytemora carolleeae. RNAcentral's name for it is "uncharacterized LOC111710503". The record is from RNAcentral. Lineage: Eukaryota; Metazoa; Arthropoda; Copepoda; Calanoida; Temoridae.